RNAcentral lists this ribosomal RNA (473 nucleotides) under Rhodoferax sp. RNAcentral describes it as "bacterial SSU rRNA". It matches the Rfam family "Bacterial small subunit ribosomal RNA", at positions 391 to 857 of the family's 1533-position model. The record is from RNAcentral. Lineage: Bacteria; Pseudomonadati; Pseudomonadota; Betaproteobacteria; Burkholderiales; Comamonadaceae.
GCAAUGCCGCGUGCAGGAUGAAGGCCUUCGGGUUGUAAACUGCUUUUGUACGGAACGAAACGGCUCUUUCUAAUAAAGAGAGCUAAUGACGGUACCGUAAGAAUAAGCACCGGCUAACUACGUGCCAGCAGCCGCGGUAAUACGUAGGGUGCGAGCGUUAAUCGGAAUUACUGGGCGUAAAGCGUGCGCAGGCGGUUAUAUGAGACAGAUGUGAAAUCCCCGGGCUCAACCUGGGACCUGCAUUUGUGACUGUAUAGCUAGAGUACGGUAGAGGGGGAUGGAAUUCCGCGUGUAGCAGUGAAAUGCGUAGAUAUGCGGAGGAACACCGAUGGCGAAGGCAAUCCCCUGGACCUGUACUGACGCUCAUGCACGAAAGCGUGGGGAGCAAACAGGAUUAAAUACCCUGGUAGUCCAGGCCCUAAACGAUGUCAACUGGUUGUUGGGUCUUCACUGACUCACUAACGAAGCUAACG